GGCCCCGCUGCCCAGACGUGGAGUCCCCCCCGGCACUGCGCUGAUGGCGCGAGUCGGAGCGGUCCCGGAGCGGCUCCGGAGGCCCCGGCAGGUUCCCAGCCAAGGCUGGGGUCACUGGCAUGUAAAAGGUGAGGUGAGGUUAACUCCUGCCUUCCGGGUCCUGCGCGGCUAGUCCAGACUCAGUAAUUAAGCCCAUUAUAUUCCCCACAGGAUCCAGCUCCCGAGGUUCAGGGAAGUAGGCAGGGCGUGUAGAUUCCACAUCUCUGAGCAAAUUGCAAAUCAUAUAUGCCUGAAGACUCAUGGCUUUCAGCCUUUGGCCUGAGGACUUUACCUUAUCCAUGGACAAGUUUUCAGGGCAUGGAGGCCUGUUGCCUCAACAAGUCAGGUUUGCCAUACAUCCUCCAAAGAUCAAAAAAGAGAGUCCCUGCCUGAAUCUAUGUGUAAGAUGAGUGUCUGAGCACAAGUGGAAAUGAUAAUGGGAAAGUGCAAAGAAGUAGUAAGAAGCUCUUGGUCAGCAUGGUGUCAGUGAUCUUAGCACAGUCAGAGCAACGUGCUGGCAGGUUUUAGAGGCAGCAUGGGCAUUUUGCCUGUGCUUUUAGUUUUGCCUUCCAUUCAGCUCACUUCCUAGUAAAUGGAGUGCUAAUUUAUUUCUAUCUUGUAAUUUCUGUAACUUUUGCAAUAAAAAAAAAUAUGUACCAUAGAUCUCUUUGUUG
Molecule: long non-coding RNA, 713 nt
Filed under: Coturnix japonica (Japanese quail)
Lineage: Eukaryota; Metazoa; Chordata; Aves; Galliformes; Phasianidae
Description: lncRNA (ENSCJPG00005013437.1)
Source: RNAcentral